GUAUUGAUUGCGUGUGACCGCAAAAAUAACAUUCUACACUGUAUCGAGUUUUGUGUGAAAACGUGAGCCCUCCUGCAAAGGGGACCCACGCGGUGAUGCACAAAGGGGUGAGAUGGAUGUGUGAGAGUGCUCGGGCGUGCACGACCUUUCGAAAGGUCAGCGACAGCCCUCGCACCCGCAUUGUACGAUAAUGAUCCUUCCGCAGGUUCACCUACGGAAA
This 220-nucleotide unclassified non-coding RNA is filed under the name uncultured fungus. RNAcentral's name for it is "sequence contains ITS1". Lineage: Eukaryota; Fungi. The record is from RNAcentral.